GCAUAAAAAAUUAAGUACAAGUUCAAAUUAUCUUGCAUUAAUCCUCGAAAGCAUCUGCAUAAAAUGAAAGUACAAUCAAAUAAGAAAAAGUGAAGACACCAAUCAUUGUCGGAUAUUGACUUGUAGUAUUCCUCUGACCGUUGUGAAGGGGUAAGUCUAAGCACGAGACUGAUAUAUGUGAAGUUUACACACAAUAAGCAACUUGAAAAGUCUAUGCAUAAGUCUUCCAUGUUCCACUCUGUUUAGCAUCAUAACCAUAGUUUUUUUUGAGUCAUUCAUUUUUUGACGAGAGGGGUUGCUCUGAUGGUAAGCAACCUCCACUUCCAACCGAGAGGUUAUGA
Molecule: long non-coding RNA, 341 nt
Filed under: Nicotiana benthamiana
Lineage: Eukaryota; Viridiplantae; Streptophyta; Magnoliopsida; Solanales; Solanaceae
Description: long non-coding RNA (NBEN_LNC010585)
Source: RNAcentral